GCCCGAUUAAUUUAAUGGUAGAAUGCCAACCUUGUAAGUUGGAUACAGGAGUUCGAUUCUCUUAUCAGGCA
Molecule: transfer RNA, 71 nt
Filed under: Streptomyces tamarix
Lineage: Bacteria; Bacillati; Actinomycetota; Actinomycetes; Kitasatosporales; Streptomycetaceae
Description: tRNA-Thr
Rfam family: tRNA
About the family: Transfer RNA (tRNA) molecules are approximately 80 nucleotides in length.
Source: RNAcentral